CGGGAGGCAGCAGUGGGGAAUUUUCCGCAAUGGGCGAAAGCCUGACGGAGCAAUACCGCGUGAGGGAAGACGGCCUAUGGGUUGUAAACCUCUUUUUUCAGGGAGGAAUCAAUGACGUGUACCUGAAGAAUAAGCAUCGGCUAACUCCGUGCCAGCAGCCGCGGU
Molecule: ribosomal RNA, 165 nt
Filed under: uncultured bacterium
Lineage: Bacteria
Description: partial 16S ribosomal RNA
Rfam family: Bacterial small subunit ribosomal RNA
Source: RNAcentral